Molecule: long non-coding RNA, 338 nt
Organism: Saccostrea cuccullata (small rock oyster)
Lineage: Eukaryota; Metazoa; Mollusca; Bivalvia; Ostreida; Ostreidae
Exons: 2
Source: RefSeq, a predicted model, not a curated record
AUGUCCAGGUAAACACCGAGAGGAUUGUUUUCAACUGUUUUGUAAAAUCUACAAGCUGUGAACAUUAUUGAAGCAUUGUAGAAUCCCAGGGAUAAUUAAAUCAAAACAAUUUUAAAUCACCGAUUUCUUUAUGCUCGAGUCACCUGAUCGGCCAAAGGAAACUUGAAGGUCACAAACAUGCGAGGUUGCAGACCCACGUUGCCUCGAUCGCCUGAUGUCAUGUCGUGUCACUGUGCAGUGAGAUUGUACAUGAAGAAACAACCCUACAGUACUUAAUUUACCCAGGAGUAGACUACAUGUACCAGUAGUUGAAAAAAAGACUAAAGGCCAGACUUAGG